Molecule: ribosomal RNA, 484 nt
Filed under: uncultured bacterium
Lineage: Bacteria
Description: partial 16S ribosomal RNA
Rfam family: Bacterial small subunit ribosomal RNA
Source: RNAcentral
AUUGAACGCUGGCGGAAUGCUUUACACAUGCAAGUCGAACGGCAGCACGGGGGCAGCCCUGGUGGCGAGUGGCGAACGGGUGAGUAAUACAUCGGAACGUGCCCGGUCGUGGGGGAUAACGUAGCGAAAGUUACGCUAAUACCGCAUACGAUCUGAGGAUGAAAGCGGGGGACCUUCGGGCCUCGCGCGAUCGGAGCGGCCGAUGUCAGAUUAGGUAGUUGGUGGGGUAAAGGCCUACCAAGCCGACGAUCUGUAGCUGGUCUGAGAGGACGACCAGCCACACUGGGACUGAGACACGGCCCAGACUCCUACGGGAGGCAGCAGUGGGGAAUUUUGGACAAUGGGCGCAAGUCUGAUCCAGCCAUUCCGCGUGCAGGACGAAGGCCUUCGGGUUGUAAACUGCUUUUGUACGGAACGAAAAGGCUCUGGCUAAUACCUGGGGCUCAUGACGGUACCGUAAGAAUAAGCACCGGCUAACUACGUG